Molecule: non-coding RNA, 352 nt
Organism: Paramuricea clavata
Lineage: Eukaryota; Metazoa; Cnidaria; Anthozoa; Malacalcyonacea; Plexauridae
Source: the annotation of a GenBank genome assembly
GCAGGCUUAAUAUCGCAUCGCAUUCAAAAAUCUCCAUACAAUUGUAAACAACGUCGAGUUCAAAUGUUUCAAUUUCGGCUAAAGUGGUCACAAUUUGCUCAGAUCUCGUGUUCUGCGUGACAUAUUGUUUAGCGUAUAUAUUAAUGGCAUCACAAUACAUAAUAUGGAAUCGCUGAAUCGCAUAGAAUGGAAUAAUUUUAGCUCGAUAAUAUAUCGUACUGUAUUAGCCAAUCUUCUUUGGAAUGCUGACAAAAAUUUAUCAGUAUGCAUUUUUCACUCAGAUGACAAAAUUGUGGUCAAAGGUAAUUUAUUUCGUAAAUUUUUUAUGUUAUAUUCAUUUUGCGUUUACAAA